ACGCUCGACACCUACGGGAGCAGCAGUCGGGAAUAUUGCGCAAUGGAGGAAACUCUGACGCAGUGACGCCGCGUGCAGGAAGAAGGUUUUCGGAUUGUAAACUGCUUUAGACAGGGAAGAAAAAGGACAGUACCUGUAGAAUAAGCUCCGGCUAACUACGUGUCCAGCAGCCGCGGUAAUCUGAGGCGGGCUGGCAAGGC
Molecule: ribosomal RNA, 200 nt
Filed under: uncultured bacterium
Lineage: Bacteria
Description: partial 16S ribosomal RNA
Rfam family: Bacterial small subunit ribosomal RNA
Source: RNAcentral